RNAcentral lists this ribosomal RNA (391 nucleotides) under uncultured Glomeromycotina. RNAcentral describes it as "SSU rRNA". It matches the Rfam family "Eukaryotic small subunit ribosomal RNA", at positions 704 to 1092 of the family's 1831-position model. The record is from RNAcentral. Lineage: Eukaryota; Fungi; Glomeromycota.
UGACGAACCAUGAUGUAAUUUAUUUGGUGUUGUGGGGAAUCAGGACUGUUACUUUGAAAAAAUUAGAGUCGUUUAAAGCAGGCUCACGCUUGAAUACAUUAGCAUGGAAUAAUGAAAUAGGACGUUUGAUUCUAUUUUGUUGGUUUCUAGGAUCGACGUAAUGAUUAAUAGGGAUAGUUGGGGGCAUUAGUAUUCAAUUGUCAGAGGUGAAAUUCUUGGAUUUAUUGAAGACUAACUACUGCGAAAGCAUUUGCCAAGGAUGUUUUCAUUAAUCAAGAACGAAAGUUAGGGGAUCGAAGACGAUCAGAUACCGUCGUAGUCUUAACCAUAAACUAUGCCGACUAGGGAUCGGAUGAUGUUAAUUUUUUAAUGACUCGUUCGGCGCCUUACG